RNAcentral lists this ribosomal RNA (254 nucleotides) under uncultured bacterium. Its description in RNAcentral is "partial 16S ribosomal RNA". It matches the Rfam family "Bacterial small subunit ribosomal RNA", at positions 524 to 776 of the family's 1533-position model. The record is from RNAcentral.
GACAGAGGAGCCAAGCGUUGUCCGGAUUGACUGGGCGUAAAGCGCACGCAGGCGGUUGCGCGCGUGGGGUGUGAAAACUGGCCGCUUAACGGCCAGAGGCCAUCCCAUACGGCGCGACUUGAGCCCGUGAGAGGUCCAUGGAAUUGCCGGUGUAGUGGUGAAAUGCGUAGAGAUCGGCAGGAACACCCAGGGGGGAAACCAGUGGACUGGCACGGAGCUGACGCUCAGGUGCGAAAGCGUGGGGAGCGAACCGG